RNAcentral lists this long non-coding RNA (23501 nucleotides) under Hordeum vulgare. RNAcentral's name for it is "long non-coding RNA (HVUL_LNC008539)". The record is from RNAcentral. Lineage: Eukaryota; Viridiplantae; Streptophyta; Magnoliopsida; Poales; Poaceae.
CACCUCCACCUAUGAUGUGUAUAUGGUGGACUCCCCCAACACCAUUGGGGAGAAUAGUGAUGGCAUAGCCACAGAGAACGACAAUGACCCUGGUACCUCCAAAUCACUGACGCCAACGCAAACGAUCCAAGGGGCACAAGGGAAAGGAAAGCAACAAGGGCACCAGAGAGGACAACACCUCGGAUAACGUAGAAGACCUCGAGAACCCGAUUUCUCCUGAACACUUGGAAGGGUGAGGGGAUCACAACCCCGAGGACCUCGAUGACUCCAAAGAUAGCAACUACCUCUCUCUUAUCGAAGAGGAGGCUAGUCUCUAAGGCGAGGAUUUUAUCGUCCCAGAGGACCCGCUGGAUCUGGAGUAGUUCAAACAACAUAAUAUAGCCACCGCCCGAAGCCUGAAGAAAAAACAAAAGCAGAUCAAAGCUGAACAAGACACCGGUAACGACAGACGGACGAAAGUCCUAAUAGCCAAAGAAGGGUACAUCGAUGAUUGGCGUGAUCAAAAUAAAAGCUACCCGCACCAAAGAUUGCUGCCAGAAUUUGACAACAAGCCCUUUGAGCCCACACCUCCUGGAGGACGCACUCAGGGCAAUGCUACGGCAACAGACAACAGCGCCAGAAAUUGACACGUUGACGGAGACUCGGCUUGCGUUGGUUUUUCCCUUGAAGAGGAAAGGGUGAUGCAGCACAGGAGCAAUAAGUAUUUCCCUCAGUUUGAGAACCAAGGUAUCGAUCCAUAAGGAGGGUCUCGUCAAGUCCAGAGUACCUGCGCAAACACAAACGAGUUUGCACCCAACGCUUCAAAGGGGUUGUCAAUCCCUUCAAGAUUGUUUGCAAAGUGAGAUGUGAAGGCGGAAAGUGCAACAAAGUAAAAGUGUAAGGCUGAAAAUAUGGUGUGGAGUAGACCCGGGGGCCAUAGUGUUCACUGGAGGCUUCUCUCAAAAUAGCAAAUAUCACGGUGGGUAAACAAAUUACUGUCGAGCAAUUGAUAGAACCGCGCAAAGUCAUGACGAUAUCUAAGGCAAUGAUCAUACAUAUAGGCAUCACGUCUGAGACAAGUAGACCGAUACUUUCUGCAUCUACAACUAUUACUCCACACAUCGACUGCUAUCCAGCAUGCAUCUGGUGUAUUGAGUUCAUGACGAACAGAGUAACGCCUUAAGCAAGAUGACAUGAUGUAGAGGGAUAAUCUUAAACCAAUGAUGAAAACCCCAUCUUUUUAACCUUGAUGGCAACAACAUGAUGCGUGCCUCGCUACCCCUUCUAUCACUAGGUGAGGUCACCAAACGGUAUGAACCCAAACCAAGCACUUCUCCCAUUGCAAGAAUCAUAGAUCUAGUUGGCCAAACAAAACCCACAACUCGGAGAGAAUUACAAGGAUAUGAAAUCAUGCAUAAGAGAUAUCAGAAGAAACUCAAAUAAGAUUCAUAGAUAAUCUGAUCAUCGGAUCUCGACAAACACACCGCAAAAGAAGAUUACAUCAGAUAGAUCUCCAUGAAGAUCAUGGAGAACUUUGUAUUGAAGAUCCAAGAGAGAGAAGAAGCCAUCUAGUUACUAGCUAUGGACCCGUAGGUCUAUGGUGAACUACUCAUGCAUCAUCGGAGAGAUCAUGGUGUUGAUGAAGAAGCCCUUCGUAUCCGAAUCCCCCCUCCAGCAGGGCACCAGAACGUGCCCCAGAUGGGAUCUUGUGGAGACAGAAGCUUGCAGCGACGGAAAAGUACUUUCGAUGAUCUCCUGAUUUUUUCUGGAAUUUUUGGGGAUAUAUAGGCGCAAAACCUAGGGAAAAGGAUGCCCAUGGAGCCCACAAGCCUGUGGGCCGCAUCCUCCGCCCUGGCCGCGGGGUGGGGGCUUGUGGGGCCCCUGGGGCUCCCUGCCUUGGCUCUCAAGUCUCCUGAUCUUCUUCCGUUACGGAAAAAUUCUUUUUCGGGGAUUUUAUUCCGUUUGGACUCCGUUUCAAAAUCUCCUCUGAAAGGGGUCAAAAACAUGGAAAAAACAAGAACUGGCACUUGGCACUGAGUUAAUAAGUUAGUCCCAAAAAAUAUAUAAAAGGCAUGCAAAACAUCCAAAGUUUGACUAGAUAAUAGCAUGAAACCAUCAAAAAUUAUAGAUAUGUUGGAGACGUAUCAUGGCGCCAUAGCCUUCUUGGGCUGACUCCACCAGCCCACUAAGGACUUGGUGCGCCACCCUAGUUUCCUGCUCCAAGAGAAACUGACACUUGUUAUUUAGAGCAACCUAAAUUCCUCAAAGUCUUUGAGCGAAAAUCCAAGUGAGAAAAUUCCCCAAACACCCAAACCCAAACCAAACCCCAAGUGAUUGAGCAUCACUGACUAAGUUUUCCCCUUGUGGAACCGACGCUUGUUACCUUUGAGGAUUGUGCAUCCUCCAGACAGCUAGGCGUCAUGGUCUAGAGCAUCCAACAGUCAAUUGUGGAUCGUCGGGUGAACAAGUUUGUGAGGGUUUGGAAGUCUGCCCUGAAGACUAACCACGAGUGUUGGGCGAGGACUGUGUGUCCUUAGCUCAAGGAGAAUACGGUAGGGACUUCAUGUCCCGGGACUGUGUGUCCUUUGGUUUCAAUACCAAGCCACUCCAAACUAGAUGUAUAACUGUCACAGCAGUUGGAACUGGAGAAUUUUUGGGGAUAUAUAGUUACAAUAGGCUUCUCUCGUUCACUAGAGGCUUCUCUCAAAAUAGCAAAUAUUACGGUGGGUGAACAAAUUACUGUCGAGCAAUUGAUAGAACCGUGCAAAGUCAUGGCGAUAUCUAAGGCAAUGAUCUAGCAUAUAGGCAUCACGUCCGAGAUAAGUAGACCGAUACUUUCUGCAUCUACUACUAUUAAUCCACACAUCGACCGCUAUCCAGCAUGCAUCUAGUGUAUUGAGUUCAUGAUGAAGAGAGUAACGCUUUAAGCAAGAUGACAUGAUGUAGAGGGAUAAUCUCAAACCAAUGAUGAAAACCCCAUCUUUUUACCCUUGAUGGCAACAACACAAACGUGCCUCGCUACCCCUUCUAUCACUGGGUGAGGUCACCGCACGGUAUGAACCCAAAACCAAUCACUUCUCCCAUUGCAAGAAUCAUAGAUCUAGUUGGCCAAACAAAACCCACAACUCGAAUAGAAUUACAAGGAUAUGAAAUCAUGCAUAAGAGAGAUCAGAAGAAACUCAAAUAAGAUUCAUAGAUAAUCUGAUCAUAAAUCCACAAUUCAUCGGAUCUCGACAAACACACCGCAAAAGAAGAUUACAUCGGAUAGAUCUCCAUACAGAUCAUGGAGAACUUUGUAUUGAAGAUCCAAGAGAGAGAAGAAGACAUCUAGUUACUAGCUAUGGACCCGUAGGUCUAUGGUGAACUACUCACGCAUCAUCUGAGAGGUCAUGGUGUUGAUGGAGAAGCCUUCCGUGUCCGAAUCCCCCCUCCGGCAGGGCACCAGGACGUGCCCCAGAUGGGAUCUUGCGGAGACACAAGGCGGAAAAGUGAUUACGAUGCUCCCCUGAUUUUUUUGGGAAUAUUUGGGAAUUUAUAGGCGCAAGAUCUAGGUCAGGGGACCUCCAGGGGGCCCACAAGCCUGCAUGGCGCGGCCCCCUGGCCACGGGGUGGGGGCUUGUGGGGCCCGUGGGGCUCUUCUGGCUUGGCCCCCAAGCUCUCUGAUCUUCUUCCGUUCCAGAAAAAAUCUUUUCGGGGAUUUUCUUCCAUUUGGACUCCGUUUCAAAAUCUCCUCUAAAAGGGGUCAAAAACAUGGAAAAACAGGAACUGGCACUUGGCACCGAGUUAAUAGGUUAGUCCCAGAAAAUAAAUAAAAGACAUGCAAAACAUCCAAAGUUUGACAAGAUAAUAGCAUGAAACCAUCAAAAAUUAUAGAUACGUUGGAGACGUAUCAAGCAUCCCCAAGCUUAACUCAUGCUCGUCCUCGAGUAGGGAAGUGAUAAAGAACGAAUUUUUGAUGUGGAAUGCUACCUAGCAUAGUUGUCCUUUGCAACUUCUUUCACGUGGCAUGAAUGUUCAUAUCCGUACGAUUCAGAACAAUAGUUUGCUAUUGACAUGAAAGCCGUAAUACUUCAAGCAAACUAGCAAAGUAAUCAUGAACUUUCAAAAUAACAAGGCCAAAGAAAGUUAUCCCUACAAAAUCAUAUAGUCUGGCUGAUUGGGUUAUAGUCCUAGGGUAGGGUCAUAGGCCUUCCCUAUAAGUCCUACCCAAGGACUACCCUUCAUAAGGGAUAAGGCCCUUAGUCAGUUCCGACAGAAUUAAGGACUUCCCAUCAUCCAGUCGGUGUCGAAUCCUCCAUCGUCCAGUCGGAGAUGAGCAUUCGGAGUGUAUCAAACUAACCGACUGGAUUCCACUCUAUGCAUCGUACCUGUAACGUAGGCAUUUAUUCGCCACUACUCAACCCCUGUGCACCGAACCAUUGUGAAGGGCAGCGCACUCUAUAUAAGCCGCCCUUCCCCACUGGUGCAAGGGUUAGAAAUUCACUGUAAUCCAUAUUCCACUCGACAACAAGCUCCCAGAGCACUGAGACGUAGGGCUAUUACCUCCACCGUAGAGGGGCCUGAACUCAUACAACCUCGUCGUAGCUAAGGCUCUGCCCAUCCUUUCAUACCCUACAGAUCUACUGUCAGACUUAUACCCACGACAGUUGGCGCCCACCGUGGGGAAGGCGUCUAAGCGACUUCCGGUGAGUUUGCGACUACAUCUUUCCGUCAUGUCUUCCGGUGGAGAUUUGAGCAUGGGUCACGAGAUCCUCUUCGACGCUCUCUCCUUCAUCGUCGACGAUUUGGCAUGGCUUCGGGACGCCCCUCUCGACAUCAAGGCGCUCCCCCAUCGCGGGGCUACGCACUUCCGUGCCGGCGCCCGCGGUGUUCUUCUUCUCCAGCAGUCGGCUCCGGUGUCGACCUAUGCCGCCGUCACGCGCCGCAACAAGCGGUCCCUCCGUCCGUGGCUCCAGCGUUGGGUGCAACACGCCCAGGCGCGCCAGAACGCGUCUUCACAAGUGGCGGUCUUAGAGUCGGUUGUGGUUGCCCCGCCGUCCCAGCGCUCGGACUCGGUUCCGACUGAGUUUCCUUCCGAGUACUUGGGUCGCGGGCCUGCAGCAGAAGUGCACAUGGCCAACUCCCAUGAAAGUCCCCGCCAAACUGGCCGGAACGAGCAUGAGAUCGGCGAAACAUCCGGUGCUCGCCGUCCGCCCCGUCGUUCAGCCAGUCGGCACACUCGACGGAGCAACGUGGAGUUGUUCCGCACACCCAUCCUCAACCUGGCUGCUGCCGCCAAGAUAGCCGAUUCCCUUCAGCUGACUGCUUCAGAGGCUGGCAGGGGGAUCGAGCAAAUCCGCGCCCUGCUGCACACGACGCAACAGCAAAAUUCGGCGGUCUCCUAGUCGCACAACAGGAUCCACAAUAGUUGUGUUCAUGCGAACACGCAUCGGUCAGUUCACAGAGUUCUCAUCAGCGACACACGGGAGGCAGUCGUUCCAUAAAUCCCGAAGAUCGUCGCCGUUCACGCACCCCUCCGCGGGGUGGGCCCUACGGGCCCCGACAUCAUGAUGAUCGGCGUUCAGUCGGUGACACUUACGAUCCAAGGCCCGAUGCGAGAGGGCAUAUCGCCCAGCGGAGGGUCGACAGGGGCCGAGCCCACCGCGAUGGUCUCGAUUUGGACCGUCCGAGUGGAAGCAGGACCAUCGUCUCUGGUCCCGAGUGUUUCAGUCGAGCCAUCCGUUUGGCUGACAUCCCUCCCAACUUCCGAUUGGCGACGGGGAGCAGCAAGUUUACAGGAGAGUUCAAGCCAGAAACAUGGCUGGACGACUACCGAGUGGCAGUCCAUAUCGGAGGAGGGGACGACCACGUCGCCAUGAAGCACCUCCCUCUGAUGCUCGACGGCUUGGCGCGAGCGUGGCUGAACCAAUUGGCCGCCUCAAGCAUCUACAGCUGGGCAGAUCUGGCCCAAGUGUUCAUCAGGACCUUCGAAGGGACGUGCAAGCGCCCUGCUGGCCUCGUGGAGCUCCAGCACUGUGUCCAGAAGCAGAAUGAGCCCCUGCACGAUUUCAUUCAGCGUUGGACGACCCUCUACCACACGAUGGAGAACGUCGCAGAGCACCAAGCAGUCUGCGCCUUCAAGGCAGGCGUGCGGUACAGAGAUUUGUACUUGAAGUUCGGCCGAACAGGCGACAUCUCCAUGAGCAAGAUGAUGGAGAUAGCGGCACGCUAUGCAAAUGGAGAAGAAGAGGACCGCAUCCGUAGCGGCAAGCACAAAACAGUCGCUGAUGGAGAUGGGAAUAACACUCGGAAGCAGAAGCAGAAAGCUUCGUCCACUCCGCAGGCAGAAGCCGCGGCUGUUACCAAUGCCAAGUUCAAGGGCAAUGGGAAGGCUCAGUUCAACCCCAAGAAGAAGUAGUUCAAUAACCCCAUCCUGGACCAGCCAUGUCUGAUUCACACGAAGAUGGAUGAAGAGGGCAACGCCAUAUAUCCGAAGCAUACCACUCGGUAAUGUCGCCUCCUGAUCCAGGGGUUCGGCGAAGGGCAACCGAGUGAUAAGGGCAAUGAACAGGAUGAGGAGGACAAGUUGGAUCCGUUCCCCCAAGUCCAUGCAACACUGAUGAUUUUUGCUGACGUUGAGAGCAAGAGUCGACUAAAGCUGGUGAACAGGGAGGUGAACAUGGCCGUGCCGACCAACCCCACGUUCCUCAAAUGGUCUCAGACUGCGAUCACCUUUGACCAAUCGGAUCAUCCAGCACACGUACCCACCCCAGGGAGGCAGGCUCUGGUCGUCGACCCGGUGGUGGAAGGAGUCCGACUGCGCAAAGUCCUCAUGGACGGCGGCAGUGGCUUGAACAUCAUGUACGCCGACACUCUCAAGGGGAUGGGCAUUCCGAUGUCCAAACUCAGCGAGAGCAGCAUGCAGUUCCAUGGAGUCGUCCCUGGACGAAAGGCCAAGUCACUCGGCCAGAUCACGUUGGACGUCGUCUUCGGCUCCGACAAGAACUUCCGCAAGGAAAAGCUGAUGUUCGAGGUGGUGGACUUCCAGAGCGCGUACCACGCAAUUCUGGGCCGCCCAGCGUAUGCGCGUUUUAUGGCCCAUCCAUGUUAUGUGUACCUGAAGCUGAAGAUGCCAGACCCGAAAGGUGUGAUCACUAUCACAGGCAAUCGGCAACGGGCCGAGGAGUGUCUGCAGCAGGGAUCGAGGAUCGCCGAUCAGCACGUGGCUGUCCUCGAUCUUGACGAGUACAAGAAGACAGUCGACCCCGCUGACUUAAUGCAUUCGAAGAAGCCAGCUUCGGAGUCCGCAUUCCAGUCGGCGGGAGAGACGAAGAAGGUCAGCAUCCACCCGACAGACGACACCGCUGCCCCGACGAACAUCUCCACCACCCUCGAUCCUAAAUAGGAAGCCGAGCUCAUCCAAUUCCUCCGUGAGAACUGGGACAUCUUCGCAUGGAAGCCUUCUGACAUGCCAGGUGUACCCAGGGAGUUGGCUGAGCACCGACUGCAUGUGGAUCCCGCCGCUCGGCCAGCCCGAGAACGCGUGCGUCGGUCCGCCGCGCACAAGAGGAAGGAAAUCGGAGAAGAGGUGGCCAAGCUUUUGGCGGCCAACUUCAUUCGCGAGGUACACCACACCGAGUGGCUCGCCAAUGUUGUCAUGGUGCCGAAGAAGGACAAGUCGCUCUGAAUGUGCAUCGACUUCAAGCAUCUCAAUAAGGUCUGCCCGAAAGACCAUUUUCCGCUCCCCCGCAUCGAUCAAAUUGUCGAUUCGACUCCGGGCUGCGAGCGUUUGUCAUUUCUUGAUGCCUACUCGGGCUAUCAUCAGAUCCGUCUGUAUGGCCCCGAUGAAUUAAAAAUAGCCUUCAUCACCCCAUUCGGGUGCUUCUGCUACAUCACUAUGCCAGUUGGUUUGAAGAAUGCAGGAGCAACCUUUAUGUGCAUGAUCCAAAAAUGCCUCCUCGACCAGAUCGGUCGGAAUGUGGAGGCGUAUAUGGAUGAUAUCAUAGUCAAGUCACGCAAAGGUUCCGACCUGCUGACUGACUUGGCAGAAACAUUCGCCAACCUUCGUAGGUAGGAUAUCAAACUCAACCCGGCCAAGUGUUCAUUCGGUGUUCCCAGCGGCAAGUUACUCGGUUUCUUUGUUUCCCAACGAGGGAUCGAUGUAAACCCCGAAAAGAUCGGGACCAUCGUCCGAAUGGAGCGGCCGGUCAGAAUACACGAUGUUCAAAGGCUCACAGGUUGCCUAGCGGCUUUGAGCAGGUUUAUCAGUCGACUCGGCGAGAAAGCACUUCCUCUGUACCGACUCAUGAAGAAAUCAGAUACUUUCGAGUGGACAGACGAAGCCCAAGUUGCAUUCGACGACCUCAAAGUCCUACUUUCCACCCAGCCGGUUCUUACUGCUCCGCUCAGGAAAGAGCCCCUUCUUCUGUACAUCGCGGCUACAAAUCAAGUCGUCAGCACUGUUCUCACAGUCGAACGAGAAGAAGAAGACAAAGCAUACAAAGUUCAGUGGCCAGUGUAUUACGUCUCCGAAGUCCUGACUCCUUCCAAGCAGAGGUAUCCCCACUAUCAAAAACUUAUCUACGGGAUUUACCUAACUACGAAGAAGGUGGCUCAUUAUUUUCAAGACCACUCGGUGUCUGUCGUUUCUGAUGCUCCGUUGUCGGAAAUCCUCCACAAUCGGGACGCAUCGGGCCGAGUGGCGAAGUGGGCAAUGGAGAUGUUGUACUGCGACAUCAAGUUCGAGGCCAAGAAAGCUAUAAAGUCUCAAGCUCUGGCUGACUUCAUAGCAGAAUGGGUAGAAUAACAGCAACCGACCCACAUCUACUCGGCUCAUUGGACAAUGUUCUUCGAUGGGUCCAAGAUGUUGAAUGGCUCUGGCGCUAGCGUUGUGAUCGUAUCGCCAAAGGACGACAAACUCAAGUAUGUGCUGCAGAUACACUUUGAUUCCUCCAACAAUGAGGCAGAGUAUGAAGCUCUCCUUUAUGGACUGCGCAUGGCCAUCGCACUCGGCGUCCGUCGCCUGAUGGUCUAUGGCGAUUCGGAUUUGGUGGUUAAUCAAGUGAUGAAGGAGUGGGACGUCAGGAACCCCACCAUGACCACAUACUGCAAUGCAGUGAGGAAGCUCGAGAAAAAGUUUGAAGGUCUAGAACUCCACCAUGUUCCGCGACUGAAGAACCAAGCAGCUGAUGAGUUGGCAAAACUCGGAUCCACUCGGAGACCAGUCCCGAGUGACGUCUGCCUCGAGCACCUCCACCUUCCCUCAGUUAAAGAAGAUCCUUUCACAGAGGAACCAGUACAACCAAAGAGCUCGACAGAUCCGACUAAAGUCGACGUACCUGCUGUGGUUGAUUUGAUCAUGGAGAUUCUUGUUGUCAUCCCCGAUUGGACUAUGCUGAUCAUUGCAUACAUCCUGAGGCAAGAAUUACCAGAAGACGAAGUCCAAGCAAGACAGAUCGUUGCCAAAGAUUUCAGAGCUGGCUUCUUCUGGCUGCAGGCGAAUGAAAUGGCUAAAGAUAUGGUCGACCAAUGUGAAGGCUGCCAGUUCUACUCCAACAAGUCCCACAAGCCAACAUCUGCGUUGAAGACAAUCCCUCUCGUUUGGCCGUUUGCGUUAUGGGGAUUAGAUACAGUCGGUCCAUUCAGGACAGGCCAAGGGGGUUCACACAUCUGUUGGUAGCAGUCGACAAAUUCACAAAGUGGAUCAAAGCCAAGCCCAUCAAGAAGCUCGACGCCCCAACGGCCAUCAAGUUUGUCAGGGACAUCAUCUCCAGAUUCGGGGUACCUCACAGCAUAAUCACUUACAAUGGAACACACUUUGACUCGGACAGGUUCAAAGGUUUCUGUACAGGCCAAGGUAUCCGAGUGGAUUUCGCAUCUGUGGCGCAUCCCCAAACAAACGGGCAAGCAGAGCGGGCGAAUGGACUUAUUCUGCAAGGUUUGAAGCCUCGACUCCUGCAAGGGGUGGGACAUGCCGCUGGCGCAUGGGUCACCGAGCUACCUUCGGUGCUUUGGGGUCUCCGCACAACCCCAAAUAGAUCUACAGGGCGAUCCUCGUUCUUCCUCGUUUACGGAGCAGAGGCAGUCCUUCCGAGUGACUUGCUUCACAACGCUCCACGAGUUGAACUCUUCUCCGAAGCUGAAGCAGAACAAGCAAGGCAAGACGGAGUGGAUCUUUUAGAGGAGGAGCGCGAGAUGGCACUGACUCGCUCAACCAUUUAUCAACAAGAUCUGCGACGCUUUCACGCGCGACACGUCAGGAGUCGCACAUUCCAAGCAGGCGACCUGGUGCUCCGAGUGGAUCAGCAGAGACCUCACAAGUUGGCUCCCGCCUGGGAAGGACCCUUCAUCAUCUCCAAGGUGUUGAGCAACGGAGCAUACCGACUCUACAACAUCGACAGGGAAACGGACAAGCCGCGAGCAUGGAACGGAGACCUCCUGAAGCGCUUCUACACGUGACCGUCGACUGAAGCAAUGUAAAGAACAAGUAUCGGUGAAAUAAUACAAAGCAGAUUGAGUUUUUGCAGGUUCAAAAUUCUUCCACGGUCGCACACUCCGGUCUCAAAAAAAACUUAGCUGCGAUCAAGAAUCGCAUAAGUACUAACUUUCUCCGAGUGUGCACUAAACGUCGCACUCGAGGACUUAGCUGCGAUCCAGAAUCGCCUAAGUAUUAACUUUCUCCGAGUGUGUACUUAAUGUCGCACUCGGGGACUUAGCUGCGAUCAAGAAUUGCCUAAGUAUUAACUUUCUCCGAGUGUGCACUUAACGUCGCACUCGGGGACUUAGCUGCGAUCAAGAAUCGCCUAAGUACAAACUAUCUCCGAAUGUGCACUAAACGUCGCACUCGGGGACUUAGCUGCGAUCAGGAAUCGCCUAAGUAUUAACUUUCUCCGAGUGUGCACUUAACGUCGCACUCGGGGACUUAGCUGCGAUCAAAAAUUUCCUAAGUACAAACUAUCUCCGAGUGUGCACUAAACGUCGUACUCGGGGACUUAGCUGCGAUCAAGAAUCGCCUAAGUACAAAUUUUCUCCGAGUAUGCACUAACCGUCGCACUCGGGGACUUAGCUGCGAUCACGAAUCGCCUAACUACACACUUUCUCCGAGUGUGCACUGAACAUCGCACUCGGGGACUUGUCUAUAAUCAAGAAUCGCUUAAAUACAAAGCUUCCUUCGAGUGUAUCUCACAGAUCCACUCGGAGGCUUAGCAGACCCUCAUUGAGGCUCAUGNNNNNNNNNNNNNNNNNNNNNNNNNNNNNNNNNNNNNNNNNNNNNNNNNNNNNNNNNNNNNNNNNNNNNNNNNNNNNNNNNNNNNNNNNNNNNNNNNNNNNNNNNNNNNNNNNNNNNNNNNNNNNNNNNNNNNNNNNNNNNNNNNNNNNNNNNNNNNNNNNNNNNNNNNNNNNNNNNNNNNNNNNNNNNNNNNNNNNNNNNNNNNNNNNNNNNNNNNNNNNNNNNNNNNNNNNNNNNNNNNNNNNNNNNNNNNNNNNNNNNNNNNNNNNNNNNNNNNNNNNNNNNNNNNNNNNNNNNNNNNNNNNNNNNNNNNNNNNNNNNNNNNNNNNNNNNNNNNNNNNNNNNNNNACAAUUACAUGAGUAGCUGAAACUCAUUGAGGCUCAUGUAGAUGUCAAGACCACUGACAAUUACAUGAGUAAUAACUCGCUCCAAGAACGACCUUACAGUCGCACUCGAAGACUUAGCCGCGAUCACGAAUCGCCUAAGUACUCAAUUGCCAUGUGAAGGAGGAUAUAAGCAAGCUUUUGGAUGUUGAGUGUCCUAGAUUAUAACUUGUUGUAGAUUAAUUAGAUGUUAUGUAAUUGGAGUCAGUAUUCCUAUCCUAUGGUACGAAGAUUGUUUGCAACCGUGUAUGCAUGCAUAGUAGGCAGAAUGGUGUACAGGAGGUGCUCUUUUGGUAUGCUACUGUGUUGUGACUUAUGUGAACCAUUUUGUGUCUGUUCAUUCUAUGUUGAAGAGGUAAGGGCAUGCAAGUCUUUUUUAGAUGAUGCUAGUCUCAGUUAUGAACUCGUGGUAUUUUGACUAGAAAAACUGAACUCAGUGCUAUUUGGCAAGUUGGCUUUUACUAGUGAUAUUUUGGCAUGUUUGGUUGUGACUAGUGGUAGUUUGGCUAUUCACUCGAUUAUGUUCGUGUCCAAGUGAACAUGACAUCAGGAAACCUCUCACCAAGUUUGUUAGCAUUGUAAAGGGAAAGACUCGCAAUAUCUAUGCAGUAAGGUAUGAGAAGUUCGCAAGGUUUUGUAGCGCUUGUGGUACCAUUGGCCACGAGCACAAUGAAUGUGGCAAUGGGGUGUUUGCAGAGAAGGACCUCAAGUUUGGCCAGUAUGUGUAUGCAGAUCCGCUGGUGCGUGUCCGGUUAUACUGGGAACCUAUCCGGAGUGGGAGGAAGAUCAACAAUCGUAUAUCGACUCCUAAGUCGACCGUAGGUAAAGGGGAGGAUAUGUCUAAUGGAGAAAUUAAGGACACUGCUUCUAGUCCACUUAAACCUCCUCCUUAUGUGGACAUGGACAUGGAUAAGUCUUCUCGUAAGCGUCUGAAUAUGGAUGGUGUAUUGGCACCUCCUCCCGCUGGACCAUCUACCCCGGCUGGAGAUGUACUACUUCUGACACAUGGGAAGGUGGAUGCUGAUUCGGCCUCUCCCAGCAACACUACAGGUAGCAAACGUGUUAAGAUGGAUGGUGAAAACUCAAACUCUGAAAAUGUUUCAGCGGGCUCCCUGGAGGAGCACCGCCAGAUCCAAUGAGUCACCUAUUUUGGAAUUACCGGGAGGCGGGGACAUUACUAGGGAAAAUCCUAGCAGUAAUGCGGUUCUAAGGGCUAUCAGUAGUGCGGGGCACCGCGCUACUCCCGCGCUACUGAUAUGGCGCUACAGCUAUUUAGCAGUAGUGCUUCUGCUCGUGCUACUGCUAUAGCUACUUAGCAGUAUCGUUGUCCAUACCAGCGCUACUGCUAAGUGGCUUAGCAGUAGCGUACAACGCUAAAGAACGCUACUACUAUAUUUUCACAUAUCUUUUUUUGCUACGUAUUUGCGUUGUUUUUGUACAUAUUUUAUACAGUAUUCUAUGAUGAUCAUAUUGCCCGUUUAUGAUAUGAUUAUCAUACACAUAAUAGUCUCAUCAUAUCAUCCAACACAAACCAUGUCGUCACAUCAUAAUCAUGAUAUAGCUAUACAAGUUACAUUGCCUAUGCAUCAAUGGAGUCACAACAUCAUUCGGCAGUUUCUCUUGAAGAACAUAAUAGUAGCCUAGUUAGCAAUGUAAGGUGAGGCCUGCCCUCUCAUCAAGCUUGAUGGUGAAGAACCCGCCCUCUUGGAGGUGAGGCCUGUCGCACAAACCGUAAUCUUUGCCGUAGAAUUCACACUCACGGAUCCUAUCGUCGUCAUACAUUUCCUGUGUUCAAAAUUUUGGCAUGACCAUUAUUAAAAUAAGAGAUAUUGAGCGCCUGAAAUUUGCCAGAAUGGAAAUGAAUCAACAUUCCGGUAAAACUUAGGACUAUGAGGUAUUCCUUAAAUAAACUAUUAGUCGAGGCUUUCCUUAAAUAACUCUCAUAUCUCAUGGUGUAUUGGUGCGCACUCUCUCACACUGAUAUGGUGGUGUAUAUAUGUUGGUGGACACUUUCUCACACUAAUAGUUCGACCGUCGGUGAUGGGUUCUUCUCCUCUCCUCUUCUUGUGCAUUAUACCGGGGUAUAUACCGGAAGAAGAGAAGAGGAGGAAGCGCCCCCCACGACAACAGUCAGGAUUCCUCGAUCAAUAACACACAUGAAAGUCACACAAGGAGCAAUGACAAAUCGAUAGUCAACCCAAAGAUAAUAUCACUAAUACAUCUCGAAUAUUAUCAUAUAAUAUCACUAAUACAAAUCCAGUUGACGUCUCACGGCGUAGGCGGUGGCAACCCAAAGAUAAUGAACCAUCAUUGGAUCAUAGCUCGGGUGAUAUCCCUGAAGAACCUGCCAGGCAUUGGAGAACCUGGCAUCCAACGCAGCCAUGUCGCGAUGGAGGUGCUCGUCCUCCUCCCUGACACGGUGACGUACCACCUCCGUGGGGGCCAGCUCCCUCCGCACCGAUAGUGGCCCACGCGACCGCCAGCAAAGAAGCUCCGGGUUGACGACGAGACCCGGAUUCCUCACCAAGGUGCGCGCCCCGGAAGGUAGCACCUCCGAGUGCCAGCCCGGCGGAGCCUAGUCCCGGACAUGGCACCUAUCAAUCAGGCUCUCGCCGACCACUCGACGACGAGGAUGCAGGUCGGGCAUCGUCGACGUCGAGACAAAUUACUAUGAGAAAAAUUUCUUAUCGUUUAAUGUUUUACUUUCCACUUAUCAUUUGCACAUCAAUCAUCUCAUUUGAAUUUAGCUAGCGCCCACUAACCUAUUUUUCUCAACAUGCAAGUAUGACACCUCAUCGAGCAAGUAUGCAAUAAUAAAACACAAUAUAUAUUGCAAAUAUUCCCGCAACAACGUUCGGGGCAUGAUCUAGUCCCUAGCAAGAAUACUAGCAAGAACCCUAGGCGUGGGGAUGUCUCACCAGAUGUCGGGGUUGGUGUAGGGGUCGGCGCAGGGGUCAAGGUCGUCGGGCUCGAGGUCGGGGUCGGGGCCGGGAUUGAGGUCGUCGGGGUCUAGGUCGGGGUUGGGGCUAGGGGUGAGGUCGCCGGGGAGGACCUGCGGUGGCGGCAGCGUAGAGUGGAGAGGGAGAGAGGAAGGAGGGGAGAGAUAGGGAGUGAGGGGCGGGGCAAUGGCGCGGAGUGGAGAGGGAGAGAGUGAGGAGGGGGAGAGGGAGGGAAUGAGGGGCGGGGCGGCGACGCAGAGUGGAGAGGGAGGGAGUGAGGAGCGGCGGUGGCGGCGCAGAGUGUGGAGAGGGAGAGGGAGGAACGUGUGGGGGCGAAUACGAUAUAAGUACAUGCCCCAGUUAGCAGUAGUGGGGGUCGGAAACACGCGCUACUACUGUUCUGUUAGCAGUGGCGUUGUUAUCUGAGGCGUGCUACUACUAAAUCUAGCGUGGCGACAACGGUAGGGGCAAUAUUAGUAGUAGCGUGUUUCUUAAAGCCGCGCUACUGUUAAGUAGUUAGCAGUAGCGCCUUUAUUGGAUGUGCACUACUGAUAUGUAGUAGUAGCAAUGUCGUUUAUCCAGCGCUACUGUUAAGAUUCUGUGUAUAAGGUUUUCCCUAGUAGUGGGAACCGCCGGACAGUUCGUGAAGUUGGGGCUCUUGUAAAAGCCCAUUCCCCAAGGCCGGUCUUUCUUGCUGAAACAAGACAGUCGAGUGCAAAAAUUAAAGGUUUGAAAUGGAAAUUAGGAUUGAAAGUUUCUCUCGCGUGGAUUAUGAUGGCCAUGGAGGGGGUACUAGCGUUGUUCUGGGACGAGUCCCUCCAGGUGACGGUACUAGACUCGUGUAAAAGAUUUAUUGAUGUGAGUAUUGUUGAUCAAGGUUAUGGAAAAGCAUGGAGGUCUACCUUCGUUUAUGGAGAAUCAUGUGUUGAACACCGUCAUCACAUGUGGGAACAUCUGGUUUGAUUAAAGGGGACCUCGACUCUACCCUGGGUAGUCUGUGGAGAUUUCAAUGAGGCUCUUUGGCAACAUGAGCAUUUCUCGCGUACUAGUAGAGGUGAAAACCAAAUGGAAGCAUUCAGAGACACACUGUUGUUAUGUGAGCUUAUGGACAUGGGAUUCUCAGGUGUAUUGUAUACAUAUGAUAAUGGGAAACUAGGGAUUGGCAAUGUCCGGGUUCGGCUAGACCGGGCGUGUACAACAGAUGAUUGGAGGGAGGUGUUCCCAUUUGUGAGGGUGCAACACCUUGUCUCUCCCCAAUCGGAUCACUGCCCCGUCCUAUUAUUCCUGGAUGAAUCUGAUGACCGACGUCGUAGGGGCGCCUAAAUAUGAAAUAACGUGGGAAAGACACAUGAAACUUCCGGAGGUGAAUUCAAAGGCGUGGGCACGGGCUCGUCCGAGGGGUGACUUAGGCAAUGUUGCAGCCUCCCUUAAGUCAGUUAUGACUGAUCUUCAGAAGUGGAGCAAAGAGAAUUUUGGGCAUGUUGAGAAAAAAAUUGAGGAACUCCACGAGAAAUUGGAGACAUUACAGCUCUCUAGCGCUGACCGCGUGCUAAUCCGCCAAAAUAUGGAAAAAUUAGACGAACUAUUGUACCAUGAGGAAAUGAGGCUGCACCGUAGCCAUAUUGUUUGGUUGAAGGAAGGCGGUCGUAAUACUCAAUACUUCCAUCGGCAAGCGGUUUGGCGAGCUAGGAGGAAUAAUAUAAGGAGACUACAGAAAGAAGACGGAUCAUGGUGCAAUGUCCCCAUGGAGAUGGAACGCAUGACAGCUUCAUACUUCAAGGAAGUGUAUACGAAGGAUCCCACUUUAUCUCCUGAUGCAAUUUUAGACCUUAUUAUGCAGAAGGUAACUCAGGAUAUGAAUGCGAGAUUGCUUGCCCCCUUUACAGAUACUGAGAUCUCAGAUGCAUUAUUCCAAAUAGGACCGCUAAAAGCACCCGGUCCGGAUGGGUUUCCAGCUCGGUUUUAUUAGAAAAAUUGGGGUUGUCUGAAGGGAGGAAUCAUAGCGGUUGUACGGGCCACAUGCCAUAUGGAGUUAAUGAUACAUCUAUUGUGUUGAUCCCAAAGUUCCAACACCCGACUUCGCUCAAGGAUUUCCGUUCGAUAUCGUUAUGCAAUGUGAUAUAAAAGAUUGUGUCAAAAUACACGGUUAAUCGUCUCAGGCCCUUCUCAUCGAACUUAUGUCUAAAAAUCAAAGUACGUUCAUCCCGGGCCGACUAAUCUCGGAUAAUUCGAUUAUAGCUUUUGAAUGUAUCCACCAUAUCCAAACCUCCCCCGGAGGCAAUGAUUUUUGUGCUUAUAAUGUGGAUGUCUCAAAAGCAUAUGAUCAUAUUGAUUGGGUUUUUUAGGAGCGUGCACUAUUGAAGUGGGUUUUCUCCCCCAAUGGGUAUCUCAAGUUAUGGACUGUGUUCGGUCGAUCAGAUUUUUGGUGAAAUUUAAUGGACUUCUGUUGGAGCAAUUUACACCUUCCCGUGGUUUGCGACAAGGUGACCCUUUAUCACCCUUUGUAUUCCUCUUUGUGGCUGAUGCUUUGUCUAUUCUAUUACAUAAUGUUGUCCAGCAAAGAGGUCGUAAAGCAAUCAAAAUAUGUAGAAGAGCUCUCCUGCCAUCUCACAUAUGUUGUUUGCGGAUGAUUCUGCGCUUUUCUUUCGAGCAACUAGCGAUUAUGCUAUGAUUGUUACAAUGUUUUGAGCACUUAUGCUUCAGCUGCGGUUCAACUCAUAAACCCCUUGAAGUCUUUUGUCCUCUUUGCUGACAGUUGUCCUAGUCAAGUUGCUGAUGAGGUAAAGCAUAUACUCGGCAUGACGCAACAAGAAUUUGAAACUAAGUACUUGGGGCUCCCGGUUCUAGAAGGGUGUAUGCAUAAAGGUCGUUUUGAGUCUAUGCAGUUCAGAUCGAGCAAUCGUUCGGUUGACUGGAGUGAAAGGUACUCUUCUUUUGCUAGUAAGGAGGUGAUGCUAAAGGUCAUCCCUCAGACCAUCCCGGUCUAUGUGAUGAGUAUCUUCAAGCUUCCUCUUUCUGUUUGUGAUGACUUGACAAAAAUGAUUAGACAAUAUUGGUGGGGUGUGGAGAAUGGUAAGAAGAAGAUGGCAUGGGUUGCUUGGGGGAAAAUGACCCUCCCAAAAACUAAAGGGGGCAUUGGUUUUCGUGAUAUGUGAGUGUAUAAUCAUGCCUUACUCGCCAAGCAAGCCUCGAGGCUUCUUACAUCCCCAGAUUCACUUUGUGCAUGACUUCUUCGGGCUAAAUACUUCCCCAAUGGGAACUUGAGGGAUACAGUUUUUCCGGCUAAUAGUUCAGCGGUGUGGAAAGGAAGCGAACAUGGCCUGGAAUUAGUGAAGAAAGGGAUGCUUUGGCCUGUUGGCAAUGGUGCAAGUAUACGAGCGUGGAGAGAUCCCUGGAUCCCAAGGGGUCCGCCGUUUACACAGAUUUUUCCAAAAUGCAAUUGCCGCCUUAAUAGAGUCGUGGAUUUCCUUGAUGAUCAGGGUAAUUGGAAUACAGACUUGUUGCAACAAUUCUUCUGCCAAGCGGAUAUUGAAUCGAGUUUGAUGAUCCGGACGUCCCCGCGGCAACAGGAGGAUUUCAUUUGAUGGCCAUGGGAUAGAUCAGGUAACCUGACAGUGAAAAGUGCCUACAAUUUUGCAAUGUCCUCUCUAAGUGAGCAAGAUUGUAUGGGGGCGUCUAGCUCCUCUCCUAUGGGGGAAUGUCCCUUAUGGAAGCUAAUCUGGGGCGGGGUUGUACCUCCCAAAAUGAGACAUUUUGCUUGGCAAGUCAGUUCAGAUUCAUUGCCCACAAAUGCAAAGAAGAGCAGGAGGCACCUUAGGACAGCCGCGUAUUGUAGUCUAUGCGAUCGAGACAAGGAAUCAUCAUUUCAUGCCUUACUAGUGUGUCCUACUGCUCCUCUCUUGUGGGAUACAAUGCGGUUGGUCAUGGCACUGCCGAACCCAUUGGACAUUAUAUGUACAGGGGACGAAUGGCUUCUUCAUCUCCUUGUUGAAUCACAUGAACAAGUCAGGAGCACGAUCAAUAUGGUUUUGUGGCGAAGUUGGCAUCUCCAAAACGAACUCACACAUGGUAAACCAAUCCCACCAUUGAAAGUUUCCUGAUCGUUUCUUUCUAGCUAUUACAACACUUUCAAUCAAAUCUCGAUGAGUAUUGAGGAGAUCAUUAAAGGAAAAGCCCUGAUGAUAGCUGAUAUGCACAGCGAGAAUAGAAUAAAGAGCUUCGUGUACCUUGCAGGCCAUGGCCAAAUUCCUCUACACGCGAGGUCGCAUUGUCGACCGACGGCUCGUUCGAUCUUGCGAACGGCUCGACAGGAACAUGCAUGAUUCUUCGAGUUGAUAAAGGUGGGCUUAUUUUUGCAUCCUACCGCAAACUCUUUCAUUGCAAUGAAGCCCUGUAAGCAGAAUUACAGGCUAUGAUGAAAGGGCUCAAGUUGUCAGUGGAACAUUCAAAUGCCACAUUCCUGCUUCAGUAUGAUUAUGUUGUGGCCCUCAAGAUGCUCUCUCAUGAUUCCCUUAAUAGAUAAGUGUAUAGCCAUUUGGUUUUGGAGAUCAAAAGUUACUUGAGUGACAAGGUUGUUAUUCGUGUUAAAAUCCUUCGUGAACAGAAUAGGGUUGCACAAUGUUUAGUGAACUUUGGUAGAUGUGGCGAUAGCAUAGCCUGUUGGUUGGGCCAUCCUCCCCCAUGCAUGAGCAAUUUAGUCGGUGAAGAUUGUAACUCUAUCAUUGUGGAAUCAAAACCCUACACUUUUCCGCAAAAAAUACAUUUUUUGCAAGCUGAAAUAAAUUAUGUAUUUCUUGCCUAUGUACUAUCCACUACAAAAGUACAUGGUUUUUUUAUGUGUAGCUCACAUGGAAACCUAUUUUAUCGAAGCCACCAGCGUCUUUCCUCCUCCUCAAGAAAAGACUCCUUCCUCCUGCCAUCGGUGUCGUCCCCUAUCCGCCCCACCUCUAAUGGCCUUUGGACCUUGGAGGUGUGAAGGAUCUUGACCCCCUCCCUCGAGGGCAGGAGGGACCCCAUUCUUGUUUUUUUAGGUUCAACGACUUGGUUGGGAUUGUGCGGUGGUGGUUUUGUUCCUUAGUUGGAAUAAUGUCUCUGACGUCUGAUCCAUGUUCCGAUGGUGCAAAUAGCAUCAUCGAAGAACACAUGGAGGUCUGUCGCCAUCGGAUCUUGCGGGAUUCGGGCGAUACUAGUCUUCAGUGGAUCUAUUUGGAUCCAUUUUUUGUUCGUCUUCGUUCAUGUAGUUACAGGUUUGAUCUUUUCGAUCUAUAACUCUCUUCAUCGACGAUGAUUGCUGCUUUGGUGCGUUGGUCCUUUGAGCCUUUAGCACGAUGUGUUUCGGACUGUCUAUUACAAUAAGGUUUGUCCGGCUUCUGUAAAGGAGGGACGAUGAUGGCCACGCGUCUUCGGCUCGCUCCAGUGCUUGUGGUCCUCGCUACGUGGUUCAUAGUCUCGGUUGUAAUUUUUAUUACCUCUAGUGCUCUCUGUACCGCCAUAGUUGAUGAAUAUAUUGGAGAUUUCUCUCGCAAGAAAAAUAUUUAAUCAUGAAAUUUUACAGACAUAUAGUAUAUAUAUAUAUAUAUNNNNNNNNNNNNNNNNNNNNNNNNNNNNNNNNNNNNNNNNNNNNNNNNNNNNNNNNNNNNNNNNNNNNNNNNNNNNNNNNNNNNNNNNNNNNNNNNNNNNNNNNNNNNNNNNNNNNNNNNNNNNNNNNNNNNNNNNNNNNNNNNNNNNNNNNNNNNNNNNNNNNNNNNNNNNNNNNNNNNNNNNNNNNNNNNNNNNNNNNNNNNNNNNNNNNNNNNNNNNNNNNNNNNNNNNNNNNNNNNNNNNNNNNNNNNNNNNNNNNNNNNNNNNNNNNNNNNNNNNNNNNNNNNNNNNNNNNNNNNNNNNNNNNNNNNNNNNNNNNNNNNNNNNNNNNNNNNNNNNNNNNNNNNNNNNNNNNNNNNNNNNNNNNNNNNNNNNNNNNNNNNNNNNNNNNNNNNNNNNNNNNNNNNNNNNNNNNNNNNNNNNNNNNNNNNNNNNAUAUAUAUAUAUAUACAAAAGAAAAAUAUAUCCGACCACCCAGGGAUAGUUAUCCCACAUGUUCCAUAUACUAUCAUGCGGUAGUAUAUAUAUUAAUUUAUCAUUUUCAUUAUGUUUAUAUAUUAUAUAUAAGAUUUUUCAAAGUGAGUUACAUGAAAAAAAAAUACAAGUUAGCCCAUAGUUUUUAUUAUAUUUGUAAAACACAUAUAUUUUUGUACGUAAAAAAUAACAUACACAAAAUAUGAUACAUACUAUCAAAAAAAUAGUAUAUAUACUACAUAAACAUUAUUAUAUACUACAUACUACGCGUACAUACUCUCCGAUUUGUAGAUACUACAUACAACAUACAAAACGCAAGUGGUGGUAACUACCACCGGUGAUAGAUAAAAUUUAUUAUAUNAAAAAAAUAUCUACGUGAUCGUAGCAAAAAAACGAAGCUGAUGGUGCGUGGUAGCAAAAGUCAAACGCCGGUUGUAACAAAUAUUUACGUGACGUGUAUGCAACUUUUUUAGUGAACGGUUGCAGCAAAACAUGAUGCCGGUUGUAGCAGAAAUUAACACGGUUGUAGCAAAAGUAAAAAAACAUCGAUUGUAACGAAAAAUCCGACGAACUGAAGUUGCAACCAAACGUAUAUGCAGCUUUUUUACUGGGACAAAAUGUUGUAAAAAAAUGAUUGCAGUAAAAAUGACGCUGGUUGCAACAAAUUUAGACGAAAAAUGUUGCAUCCACUGACAAGCAAAACGCGCGGGUGGGAAAAUGUUGCAUGGGCCCGUGCGCGAGGGGGCGACCGGCGCGUCGGUUCAGCCGGCGCCGUAUGGAAACGAUUCCCUUUAGGGAAACGCUUCUGGCCGGUGCGCCGGCCGAACCGUUCGGCCGGCCGCACGCGACCGCGCGGGCGUUCGCUGACUUGGAUGCAACUUUCUUCGUCUAAAAUUGUUGCAACCGACAUCAUAUUUGCUGCAAGCGUUUUGUUUUGCUACAUCUGUCCGCUAAAAAAGCUGCAUCCACGGUUGGUUGCAACUUUAGUUCGCCGGAUUUUCGUUACAAUCGCUGUUUUUUACUUUUGCUACAACCGUGUUAAUUUUUGAUACAAUCGGCAUCAUUUUUUGUUGCAACCGUUUACUAAAAAAGUUGCAUCCACGUCACGAAGAUAUUUGCUACAACCGGCGUUUGACUUUUUCUACGAUGCACCAUCAGCUUCGUUUUUUUGCUACGAUCACGUAGAUAUUUUUUUGCUACAAAUUUUAUUUUUUAUUGCAACCGUUGAAAAAAUUGCUGCAUCGCGCCGAAAUUUACUGCAUCGAAGAAAAAAAUGUUGCAUGGAAGAUCCAACGGUGUGGACGACGCGGGUUGAUGGAUCCUCCGGCUCGGGCGCAGCGGACCGAAAGUUUCGACCGGCGCGCCGGCGCACGAAAUCAUAAUGGUGAUUCGCUGGGCGAGCUCCAACAUCAGCCACCCAACCUGCAGGUUAAAUAUUAAAUAAAUCGCUCAUCUACGUGGCUACCGCCUGCAUCGCCACAUCCAUAGCAGAUGGCAGCCGAACACGUCUGCUUGGGCAUGGGAGUUGGACAGACCGACGAAACGGGUCUAUUCUCGUCCAAAUUUUGCCUCCAGCGCAUUUCUUGGUAAGAGUAGAUUACUACUAGUAGUAUGGUACCACCCGUGUCCCUCGUGGUUGCCCCGCAUCAAUGGCCUCCACAUGGUUCACUUUCAUGGCAUUAAGCAGGGGCGUCAGGCACCGGAUCAGAAGCAAUAAAUAAUCCUAAUCCUCUCGCGAAGAGCGUGGCUCUUCCCGUUCACGAAGGGCCGGCCGGGUAGAUUACUGAGUCUUACUACUUGAUAAAUUACCGCGAUAGUUGUAAGCAUCUCGCUCAAGUGUAUAUAAAUGCCGGCAGUGGCCAUCCAGUUCUCACAUCCAUUGCAUCCAUCUCUCGAGUGAGCAGCAAUGGGUUCCCUUCACAAGGGUGGGGUUUGGUGGUUGCUCCUGCUCGCCGCGGUGCUGCUGGCUACCGCGGCGGCAGGCGCGGAGCAGGACGAUGGGGCGGCAGCCACUGCCGUCCCGGAGGUGGAGGUGGAGGUGGAGGAGGUCGGCCGGCCCGUCGAUGAUCAGGGCAACGACUCGUGCGACAUCAAGUGCCAACAUCAUAAAGUUCCGGCGAGGAAGAAACAGUGCGUCGACGAGUGCCACAGCCGGGAGCAUCAUCACCCAAGCAGGGCGUCUUGCGAGAGGAAGUGUAGCCAUUGGAGAGACCCGGCAAGGAAGGAACAGUGCGUGCAGCAGUGCAUGCGCUACGGCCUCAACCUCGACGUGGGCGGCGGUGACGAUGUCAUCGAGCGCCCCCACGCCGAGGAGGUGGAGGUCGAUGAUCAGAGCAACGACUCGUGCGACCACAAGUGCCAACAUCAUAAAGUUCCGGCGAGGAAGAAGCAGUGCGUGGACGAGUGCCACAGACGGGAGCAUCAUCACCCGAGCAGGGCGGCUUGCGAGAGGAAGUGUAGCCAUUGGAGAGACCCGACAAGGAAGGAACGGUGCGUGCAAACGUGCAUGCGCUACGGCCUCAACCUCGAUGUGGGCGGCGGCGACGGCGACGGCGACGGCGAGCAGCUCCGCCGCUGGGAAGCGGUGGCCGGAGCCAUCAUCGAGGUGGUGUGACGUCCGCGGCGUCGCGCACCUAAUAAUAAUAAGAAUAAUGUAAUGGCGCUUCUGCGUGUGUACACGCUUCUAUAUAUACGCCCGCGUAUACGUCUUGCUAGCUAUGACGGCAAAGGCGUGAGAAUAAAAGACCAAUAGCUUGCAGUAGCAGCAUGAUUGGCGAUGCCUCUCCUAGAAGAGAGCUCCAUGGAACUCUGUUCCUUUUCCUUCUUUUAGCAGGUUGGUCUGCUAUGUAUGUUUACCGCAAGAAGAAGCAAGAGCUGCAUGUGUAUGUGUACGUGUAUGUAUACAUGCAUGUGUAAUGUAAUGUGUAUGUGUAUGUGUU